CAGUCAUACCAACGGGAAAUCAACCUUUUGAGCUUGGUCUCGUGGGUUUUGAAGUAGGUUUCAAAGCCUUCGGAUUCGCGGGAUUGUGGGAUCUCUUCGGUGUACUUGCCUGUGU
This 115-nucleotide ribosomal RNA is filed under the name Glomus sp. (unid). The record is from RNAcentral. Lineage: Eukaryota; Fungi; Glomeromycota; Glomeromycetes; Glomerales; Glomeraceae.